Molecule: non-coding RNA, 180 nt
Filed under: Clostridiales bacterium
Lineage: Bacteria; Bacillati; Bacillota; Clostridia; Eubacteriales
Also listed under: 1 other name
Description: 6S RNA
Rfam family: 6S / SsrS RNA
About the family: E. coli 6S RNA was the first non coding RNA to be sequenced, but its function was unknown until recently. It consists of 184 nucleotides that fold into an extended hairpin structure with a large single-stranded internal bulge.
Source: RNAcentral
AACAACCUGAGUUGCUCGCCAGCUUAUUGUUUUUUACCCACAUUCAACAAAUGGAGUCCGGAGUCGCCGGGUGGCUGUCAUGCCCCCCUUCUGGUCAGGGGACGGCAAAAGCUCAGCGCAGGACACCUACCUGCUACAGAGCGGGUGAAAAAAACGGUAGCAGCGGCAUCUCGGGGGUAG